This 132-nucleotide small nucleolar RNA is filed under the name Mus pahari (shrew mouse). RNAcentral describes it as "predicted gene, 23608 (MGP_PahariEiJ_G0034255.1)". It matches the Rfam family "Small nucleolar RNA SNORA17". Rfam says of the family: snoRNA ACA 17 belongs to the H/ACA family of snoRNAs and is predicted to guide pseudouridylation of the 28S rRNA at positions U4659 and U4598. The record is from RNAcentral. Lineage: Eukaryota; Metazoa; Chordata; Mammalia; Rodentia; Muridae.
CCUGCCCCUAGAGGCGUUGCAGAUGUGGCUCCUGUGUCACAUGUGCGUCUGUAGGUGGCUGAGAGGAGAGAGGCUAUGUCUACGCUCAGUGUUCUGACCUAUGGACAUCUGAAUGAUAUGUAGCCUAACAUU